Molecule: ribosomal RNA, 702 nt
Filed under: uncultured diatom
Lineage: Eukaryota; Bacillariophyta
Description: bacterial SSU rRNA
Rfam family: Bacterial small subunit ribosomal RNA
Source: RNAcentral
GCCUAACACAUGCAAGUCGUACGAGAGUUUUUUACUCAAGUGGCGGACGGGUGAGUAACACGUGAGAAUUUGCCUUUAGGAGAGGGAUAACAAUUGGAAACGAUUGCUAAUACCUCAUAUGCUCGAGAGUGAAAUAGAUUUAUCUGCCUAAAGAAAAGCUCGCGGCUGAUUAGCUAGUUGGUAAGGUAAUGGCUUACCAAGGCGACGAUCAGUAUCUGGUUUGAGAGGACGAUCAGACACACUGGAACUGAGACACGGUCCAGACUCCUACGGGAGGCAGCAGUGGGGAAUUUUCCGCAAUGGGCGAAAGCCUGACGGAGCAAUACCGCGUGAGGGAAGACGGCCUAUGGGUUGUAAACCUCUUUUUUCAGGGAGGAAUUAAUGACGUGUACCUGAAGAAUAAGCAUCGGCUAACUCCGUGCCAGCAGCCGCGGUAAGACGGAGGAUGCAAGUGUUAUCCGGAAUCACUGGGCGUAAAGCGUCUGUAGGUGGUUUAAUAAGUCAACUGUUAAAUCUUGAGGCUCAACUUCAAAAUCGCAGUCGAAACUAUUAGACUAGAGUAUAGUAGAGGUAAAGGGAAUUUCCAGUGGAGCGGUGAAAUGCGUAGAGAUUGGAAAGAACACCAAUGGCGAAGGCACUUUACUGGGCUAUAACUGACACUCAGAGACGAAAGCUAGGGUAGCAAAUGGAUUAGAUACCCCA